Molecule: ribosomal RNA, 578 nt
Filed under: bacterium
Lineage: Bacteria
Description: bacterial SSU rRNA
Rfam family: Bacterial small subunit ribosomal RNA
Source: RNAcentral
CUAACGCAUUAAGUGCCCCGCCUGGGGAGUACGGCCGCAAGGCUAAAACUCAAAGGAAUUGACGGGGGCCCGCACAAGCGGCGGAGCAUGCGGAUUAAUUCGAUGCAACGCGAAGAACCUUACCAAGGCUUGACAUGAACCGGAAAGGCCUGGAAACAGGUCCCCCACUUGUGGCCGGUUUACAGGUGGUGCAUGGUUGUCGUCAGCUCGUGUCGUGAGAUGUUGGGUUAAGUCCCGCAACGAGCGCAACCCUCGUUCUAUGUUGCCAGCGGGUUAUGCCGGGGACUCAUAGGAGACUGCCGGGGUCAACUCGGAGGAAGGUGGGGACGACGUCAAAUCAUCAUGCCCCUUAUGUCUUGGGCUUCACGCAUGCUACAAUGGCCGGUACAAAGGGUUGCGAUACUGUGAGGUGGAGCUAAUCCCAAAAAGCCGGUCUCAGUUCGGAUUGAGGUCUGCAACUCGACCUCAUGAAGUUGGAGUCGCUAGUAAUCGCAGAUCAGCAACGCUGCGGUGAAUACGUUCCCGGGCCUUGUACACACCGCCCGUCAAGUCACGAAAGUUGGUAACACCCGAAGCCG